GUACUUACCUGGCAGGGGAGAUACCAUGAUCGCGAAGGGGGUUUUCCCAGGGCAACGCUUAUCCAUUGCACUCCGGAUGUGCCGACCCCUGCGAUUUCCCCAAACGUGGGAAACUCGACUGCAUAAUUUAUGGUAGUGGGGGACUGCGUUCAUGCUUUCCUCUG
This is a small nuclear RNA of Cebus imitator (Panamanian white-faced capuchin), 164 nucleotides long. Its record names the gene U1. It matches the Rfam family "U1 spliceosomal RNA". Rfam says of the family: U1 is a small nuclear RNA (snRNA) component of the spliceosome (involved in pre-mRNA splicing). Its 5' end forms complementary base pairs with the 5' splice junction, thus defining the 5' donor site of an intron. The record is from Ensembl. Lineage: Eukaryota; Metazoa; Chordata; Mammalia; Primates; Cebidae.